GCAUUUGUGGUGUAAUUAGAAGAAUACUUGACGUGUAAUCAAGGGGUCCACGGUUCGAAUCCUGGCGAGGGCA
This 73-nucleotide transfer RNA is filed under the name Stegodyphus mimosarum. It matches the Rfam family "tRNA". From Rfam's summary of the family: Transfer RNA (tRNA) molecules are approximately 80 nucleotides in length. Their secondary structure includes four short double-helical elements and three loops (D, anti-codon, and T loops). Further hydrogen bonds mediate the characteristic L-shaped molecular structure. tRNAs have two regions of fundamental functional importance: the anti-codon, which is responsible for specific mRNA codon recognition, and the 3' end, to which the tRNAs corresponding amino acid is attached (by aminoacyl-tRNA synthetases). tRNAs cope with the degeneracy of the genetic code in two manners: having more than one tRNA (with a specific anti-codon) for a particular amino acid; and 'wobble' base-pairing, i.e. permitting non-standard base-pairing at the 3rd anti-codon position. The record is from Rfam by way of RNAcentral. Lineage: Eukaryota; Metazoa; Arthropoda; Arachnida; Araneae; Eresidae.